AAAAGUGUUAGAGGUUGCAUCUUUGAUAAUUAACUUGUCAGAAGCUUUAUGGAGCGAAUGUUGAAUGAGUCAAAGGCAAAGAUGCCGAAAUAUAUAAUAACCAUAACUAUUGUAUAUUGGGACAGUUUCCGAAUAGGAGCUGGACUGUCACAUAAUGUGAUGUGCUACCGUAUAU
RNAcentral lists this non-coding RNA (175 nucleotides) under Staphylococcus carnosus. RNAcentral's name for it is "Lysine sequence". It matches the Rfam family "Lysine riboswitch aptamer". From Rfam's summary of the family: Riboswitches are metabolite binding domains within certain messenger RNAs that serve as precision sensors for their corresponding targets. The record is from RNAcentral. Lineage: Bacteria; Bacillati; Bacillota; Bacilli; Caryophanales; Staphylococcaceae.